AUGCUUGAACGGAACGGAGUCAAGUCAACGGAACCGGGUCGGUCAAACAACUAGGUACCUACCUAAUAUACUUGGUCUGUGCGAGAAACUGAGAAACGGAUCGGAUAAAUCAAAUCGUUUUUUUACAUCAUCGUGCUAAGCUACUGAAACAAAUUAAGGAUUAAUGGAUUUUAGACCUCUAUUUAAGGCGUAAUACACAUAAAUUGUGCAGUAAUUGUGAUAUUUUUUAAUAUUUUAAUUAAAACUAGUUAAAUGUCUACUCUAGAAAGAAUUGAAUUGAAGUUAACCUUCAAGUUUAUUAUGGUAUGGCGCUAUGAAUGCUAAGGUUUGUGUGAAUUGUGGAAAUAAGAAUCCUGUGAACGGAAUAGACAAUCGUUUGGUGACUGAAAGCUGCGGUCAUGUAAAAUGUAUGCAAUGCUUGCUUCUGGAAACUACUGGUUGCGACGCAUGUAAGAAAAACAAUGGACAUAAGGAUUUUGAUAGUAUCGAAGUCUCCGGAAAUGGUGUAAAAUCUACUGGUGAAGAAACUGAUCCAUCAGAGACGCUGCUAGACGUUACUAAGGGAAGCCACGGUAUAAAUAAUACUAAAUUGGAAAUAUCACAUAUUACAGUAGAAUCAGAUGCCAGUGCCAAACGCUAUACGUGUACAAUUUGCAAAAAGAAGUUCAAUGCACGAAGUCAAGUGAAGUACCAUGCAUACUGCAACGGUCAGCCAAAGCCGUUUCCAUGUCCUAGUUGCAAUGAGGUAUGUAAAGUAAUCAACUUAGAAGUUGAAGAAAACCGCAUGACAGAAACGCUGUUAUUGUCAUUAUACCACCCAAUCAAGAGUUUCGUAACACAUUCACACUUUGAGUACCACAUGCGGCGGCACCUCGAAGACCGACGUUUCGCGUGUGAAUUCUGUGACAAGACCUUCAUGCAGAAGUCUAACCUACAGCGACAUCGACUAAGGCAUACAAAGGAGAGAAAUCAUCCGUGCAAGCAAUGUGGGAAGACGUUCAACAACAGAUCGGCGUUGCGGAAACACACGCUCUUGCACACUGACGAGCGACCCUACCGUUGUAAAACCUGCGGACUCAAAUUCCGGGACUCCUCAAACUACAGGAAACAUGUCAAAAAACAUGAACGCGAGAAGUAUACAUGCGCGACCUGCGGACGCGCGACGGUGACGACGCGCGCAUGCGCCGACCACGCGCCGGCGCCCGAGGAACGCAAGUACAAGUGCCCGCAGCCGGACUGCACGCAGGCCUUCUACUUGCGCAAGGAUCUGCGCAGACAUGAACAGGUCCAUACAGAUACGAAGCCGUACGCAUGUACGACGUGUCCGGGGCGGUUCCGUCGGAAGGACAACUUGGACAGACACAUGCGCACUACGCACGGGGAGCGAGAGCCCGACGCGGCACCAGCACCCGCUGCCACACAGAAGAAAGUAUCGGUAAAACCGGACGAUCCCCCCAACAACACUCGCGAGGAAGAAUGCGAAAAGGCGAAACUGGAAGAGCUUAACCCGUUACCCCCACUACCAGAAGCAGAGCUGCAGAAACAUCUAUACACACAGAAGAGCCAGGUCAAAGAAAGACAGAAGGAGGAACCUAUUAUGGACAAAACAUCAAUAAUGGAAGCGAACAACGCUAGAGAGAGUGUCAUUGUGGGUAACUUCUUAGACAGGAAAAUAGCCAGCCCAAUACCAGAGUACGUCCAUAAAAUCAGAAAGGCCAACUCUUUGAGUUGCCGUAGACAAGUUCCACUGCCUCCAAUGGACGAGAGAAAGUUUAUAGAGCUAGCGGCUAAGGACAGAAACAACUUGGACAUUGGACCAUUGCCAAAGAACAUACAACCGUACAAGAACAUUCUAGAAGAGGAAAAGGUUCCAGAGGUGCACUGGAAGAAAAGACUGAAUGAUAACGAAUGAAGUCUAAGACUGAUGGCUUAGUUGGUAAGGUACUUGGUAAGAUAUUUAUAUUUUAAAUUAUUCUUGUGUAUACUUAGUGUAACUGAUGUUACAUAUGCAAAGUUGAAUGUAAAACAUAUGAUUAAGAUGUAAGGGGCAAUCAGUCAAUAAUAUGCUCAAAAUAAUACAGGGUGUUAGUGUCACCGUACCGAAUACUAGGGGAUGGUUCAGCUCACGAUUCUCGAGUUAAGUAUCAAGUGGAACUUUCCGUCACAAAUAAAACACUAACAGUGUUACUACAAAACACAAACUAAAAAUAAACUAGGUUUUAAAUAGUAUUUCGCGCCACGAAAGAAGUCUGCGGAUUUUAAUGAAAUUAACUUGACAAGUCAUAAUAAUUCUAUGCAGAAUCUGCGACAGUAGCGCCGCGGCCUUCGGGACUUCUAUCGUAUACGGAUUAUAUUUGAACAUAGUUUAUCAAAAUCAUGAGUUGAAUCAUCCCCUCAGUAUUCGAUAAGGUGUCACUAACGCCCAUACAAAUAUGUUAGGGCGUCUAAGACGCGUAUCGAUUUGUGUUUUAGCUUAAUCACAGAAUAAAGAAUGAUACUUCAAAUAGAACGCUGUCUCCACCCCGCACCGAUUGUUAUUGGGCGCCAACCUCUCCCCCUCUGGGUCUUGACGUGACUUAUUGUAGAUUUGCCUCACAUGGCAUAGAUAACUUGGCCGGACAAAUGGGGACGACUGAAGGCUCUCACCCGGUACAAAAUUCAAGACAACGGGGCAGAGGGUGUCCAGUUGGGGUGUAGCCCACUAUUUAAAUUACGAAUUUCCAUUGAUGGAAAUACUGGGACACAUUCUCCCACUAUUUCAAAAAAAAAAAAAAAACGCUGCGUCACCUCUUACUUAUGACUGCGUGCGCAUAGACACUAUUUAUUUCCUCUUUAGAUAAAAUCUCGUACAUAGUAGCAAUUGACUGUUAUUAAAGAGGAAAAAGAUUCUCAAAAAAAAAAACGCAGUUGUGUUAAACUGUGUUUUUCUGCCGCAAUGGGAAUAAUGGGAUAUAAUUUAGAAGAAACGACAGUGCCAUUAUUUCCCUUUUGUAUUUCCGUGGAAAUAGUGGGAUACACCGUCCAGUUGGGCACUUACCUCGGCCCAGGGCGUAGUCUGAUCGAUAUGCGCGGAAUGAGGGAAACUGUCGGCCACCCUGGCGCGGUCGUAUCAGGGUCAGAAGAGGGUUAAAUGACCGUGAGCCUCUAAGGAGCAAGGGAAAGUGCUCAGACUGUGCUCUCGCUCGCAAAUACGCGUUUGGCAGCAUAUGGUAAGAAUUUUUGUAUGGAAGUCCGUUGGGAAGGAAAUUCCCAGUAGUUCAACUGUUAACUACUCGGUAAGACUACUGCGAAUACGGGGAAUGUUCGGUGUGUGGCUUAAAUUAACCAUUAUGAAGCAACAAAAUAUUCACAAUGUUAGUUCGAACGGCUUUUAUACUUUUCCAUUCCCUUCCAUACAUUUUCGAUUUAGUACCAAUGUUUGCCAACGGCGCUCUUUUUUGUAGUUUGGGUAGGGGCUUUGGUGUGUUGUUACACUAUUUCGCCAUGGAGUAACUAGAUGUCGCUAGCCGUAUAAGUUCACACAUGGAAGUGAGUGACAUCUAGUGGCAGUUUGUCGUAUCAUAAACACUUUAGUACAAAUGCUUCCCACUGGCUCCAUUUACCUAUGGCGUGGGACCGUCUGUUCACAUAGUACCUAUAUUAGUUACUCCAUGCUAUUACAAAAUGAGGAGUUUUUCAGUAGAUAUAGUAAUUUUAGUUCUUUCAAUGAUAAAGAUAUGGCGAUUAAGUCACUUUUGGAAGUUUAUUCAAAGAAAUAAAUAAAAACGAAAUGGAUCAGUCCAUUUAUUUCCAUCAUUGACUAUAAAUGAUGAUGAAUGACAGUUUCAUUUAUGUUGUUUAUUUAUAAGAAGUAUUUAAUAUGAAAAUCCAAAUAUAUGGCAUGCCAUACAAAGUUUUACUAAAGCUAUGUGAACGCCAUCUCUGUAUAAUGAUGGAACUAACUGGAAAACUGCUCAUUAUCAUAGUAAUUUAAAAUUGACAUAUCCGCCCUUCAUACACACAGGCAGCGGGGGCGUUUCGGGUCGGGAAUAUUUUGUAGGUAAUGUUCGAGUUUGUAUGUUCAAUUUACCGCGCGGUGCGUUGUCAUACAGUCAUGAGCAAUAUUAUGUACCCACUUUAGGACUCUAUCGCACUAACAUAUUUGACAUUUAGUGAGACUUACGGUUCAAUUUGUCAAGAAAGUUAAUGUGACAUGGUACCAAAGUGUAUAGGUACAUAUUAAUGCUCGUGACCGUACACGCACAUACAGAUUAAUAUUGAAACUUGUUAAGUAAAACCCCGAGAUAAUGAAUUUGUGCUGAACACACCUCGUGGUCUUACUAAGUCUGAUGCAGAAGUUGCGCAAGAAUUUUUAAAUUACUUUAUUCCAAUUGCAACUACAAUUGAAACACUCGCUCCCCGGCCAGCAACGCGGUACCGCUUGUGUGUAGAGAGUAGUAAUGGGCGAUUUAAUGAUUCAUUCGAAAGUAUUCGAAUUAUUCGGUUGUCCCAAAGAAAACAUUUGAAUGAAUAAAAACAAUCGAAUAAACGGUCAUUCGAAUGAUUUUUCAUCGUGCACAUGAAUUGAAAUUUAAUAAUAAAAUGAAACUACUCAGUAGAACGCUAAAAUAUUAUAUAUGUGUUAUUUAAAUUCAAAACUGUGAUGUUGCACUCGUUACGUAAACAUAAAAUCAUUCCAAUUAAUUAUUUCGGUUAAAAAUCAUUCGAAUGACUAUUUUUUUAUUCGACAAAUGAUCUUUCGAAUACCGUAUACGGGAAUAAUUAUGUUAUUUUUUAGAACAAUCGCCCAUCGCUAGUCAUAGAUAGUGGAUAGAUUCAUUGUCUUUGAUCUCAUACAGCAGUUAUAUAACCCAUUUCUGUGCCCAUUGAACUUGGCCACAUGAUGUAUUAUUGUGAUAUUUUUUAUUUUAAUAAAUUAGAUAUUAAUA
This 4928-nucleotide unclassified non-coding RNA is filed under the name Pectinophora gossypiella (pink bollworm). Its description in RNAcentral is "zinc finger protein 300-like". The record is from RNAcentral. Lineage: Eukaryota; Metazoa; Arthropoda; Insecta; Lepidoptera; Gelechiidae.